Molecule: long non-coding RNA, 262 nt
Filed under: Lathyrus oleraceus (garden pea)
Lineage: Eukaryota; Viridiplantae; Streptophyta; Magnoliopsida; Fabales; Fabaceae
Description: Pisum sativum (pea) long non-coding RNA (PSAT_LNC034969)
Source: RNAcentral
CUUCGAUGCCUAGGAUGCACGCCUCAUAUUCGGCUAUAUUGUUUGUGCAAUCAAAACACAACCUCGAUGUGAAAGGAGUGUAUCCACCAUUCGGAUUCAAUAGAAUAGCUCCUACGCCAUGCCCCAUGUAAUUGGAGGAACCAUCGAACAUGAGCUUCCACCAAGAUCCAGAUUCAGGUUCUUCAUCAGGUCCUGUUGUAAUACCCCAAAAUUUACCCUUCAUUUUUCCCGAAAAAAAAAGAAGAAAAAAAAAACGAAAAAC